GGUUAAGCGACUAAGCGUACACGGUGGAUGCCCUGGCAGUCAGAGGCGAUGAAGGACGUGCUAAUCUGCGAUAAGCGCCGGUAAGGUGAUAUGAACCGUUAUAACCGGCGAUUUCCGAAUGGGGAAACCCAGUGUGACUCGUCACACUAUCAUUAACUGAAUCCAUAGGUUAAUGAGGCGAACCGGGGGAACUGAAACAUCUAAGUACCCCGAGGAAAAGAAAUCAACCGAGAUUCCCCCAGUAGCGGCGAGCGAACGGGGAGGAGCCCAGAGCCUGAAUCAGCAUGUGUGUUAGUGGAAGCGUCUGGAAAGGCGCGCGAUACAGGGUGACAGCCCCGUACACAAAAGCGCAUAUGCUGUGAGCUCGAUGAGUAGGGCGGGACACGUGGUAUCCUGUCUGAAUAUGGGGGGACCAUCCUCCAAGGCUAAAUACUCCUGACUGACCGAUAGUGAACCAGUACCGUGAGGGAAAGGCGAAAAGAACCCCGGCGAGGGGAGUGAAAAAGAACCUGAAACCGUGUACGUACAAGCAGUGGGAGCCCCACCACUAAGCCAGUGGUGAAGUCCACAUACGCAUCCUUUGCUGAGGAUACGGUUAACGGAGCGAAAGCGACGUUCAACCGCAAAAAAAGAAGCAGAGGGGGCUUAGUGGUGGGGUGACUGCGUACCUUUUGUAUAAUGGGUCAGCGACUUAUAUUCUGUAGCAAGGUUAACCGAAUAGGGGAGCCGGAGGGAAACCGAGUCUUAAUUGGGCGUUAAGUUGCAGGGUAUAGACCCGAAACCCGGUGAUCUAGCCAUGGGCAGGUUGAAGGUUGGGUAACACUAACUGGAGGACCGAACCGACUAAUGUUGAAAAAUUAGCGGAUGACCUGUGGCUGGGGGUGAAAGGCCAAUCAAACCGGGAGAUAGCUGGUUCUCCCCGAAAGCUAUUUAGGUAGCGCCUCGUGAAUUCAUCUCCGGGGGUAGAGCACUGUUUCGGCUAGGGGGCCAUCCCGGCUUACCAACCCGAUGCAAACUGCGAAUACCGGAGAAUGUUAUCACGGGAGACACACGGCGGGUGCUAACGUCCGUCGUGAAGAGGGAAACAACCCAGACCGCCAGCUAAGGUCCCAAAGUCAUGGUUAAGUGGGAAACGAUGUGGGAAGGCCCAGACAGCCAGGAUGUUGGCUUAGAAGCAGCCAUCAUUUAAAGAAAGCGUAAUAGCUCACUGGUCGAGUCGGCCUGCGCGGAAGAUGUAACGGGGCUAAACCAUGCACCGAAGCUGCGGCAGCGACGCUGAUGCGUUGUUGGGUAGGGGAGCGUUCUGUAAGCCUGCGAAGGUGGCCUGUGAGGGUUGCUGGAGGUAUCAGAAGUGCGAAUGCUGACAUAAGUAACGAUAAAGCGGGUGAAAAGCCCGCUCGCCGGAAGACCAAGGGUUCCUGUCCAACGUUAAUCGGGGCAGGGUGAGUCGACCCCUAAGGCGAGGCCGAAAGGCGUAGUCGAUGGGAAACGGGUUAAUAUUCCCGUACUUGGUGUUACUGCGAAGGGGGGACGGAGAAGGCUAUGUUGGCCGGGCGACGGUUGUCCCGGUUUAAGCGUGUAGGUGUGUGUUCCAGGUAAAUCCGGUUCACUUUAACACUGAGGCGUGAUGACGAGGCACUACGGUGCUGAAGCAACAAAUGCCCUGCUUCCAGGAAAAGCCUCUAAGCAUCAGGUAACAUCAAAUCGUACCCCAAACCGACACAGGUGGUCAGGUAGAGAAUACCAAGGCGCUUGAGAGAACUCGGGUGAAGGAACUAGGCAAAAUGGUGCCGUAACUUCGGGAGAAGGCACGCUGACACGUAGGUGAAGUGAUUUACUCAUGGAGCUGAAGUCAGUCGAAGAUACCAGCUGGCUGCAACUGUUUAUUAAAAACACAGCACUGUGCAAACACGAAAGUGGACGUAUACGGUGUGACGCCUGCCCGGUGCCGGAAGGUUAAUUGAUGGGGUCAGCGCAAGCGAAGCUCCUGAUCGAAGCCCCGGUAAACGGCGGCCGUAACUAUAACGGUCCUAAGGUAGCGAAAUUCCUUGUCGGGUAAGUUCCGACCUGCACGAAUGGCGUAAUGAUGGCCAGGCUGUCUCCACCCGAGACUCAGUGAAAUUGAACUCGCUGUGAAGAUGCAGUGUACCCGCGGCAAGACGGAAAGACCCCGUGAACCUUUACUAUAGCUUGACACUGAACAUUGAGCCUUGAUGUGUAGGAUAGG
This 2227-nucleotide ribosomal RNA is filed under the name Salmonella enterica subsp. enterica serovar Urbana str. ATCC 9261. RNAcentral's name for it is "bacterial LSU rRNA". It matches the Rfam family "Bacterial large subunit ribosomal RNA", at positions 1 to 2147 of the family's 2925-position model. The record is from RNAcentral. Lineage: Bacteria; Pseudomonadati; Pseudomonadota; Gammaproteobacteria; Enterobacterales; Enterobacteriaceae.